UACGUAGGUGGCAAGCGUUAUCCGGAUUUAUUGGGUGUAAAGGGCGUGUAGGCGGGAAAGCAAGUCAGAUGUGAAAACUAUGGGCUCAACCCAUAGCCUGCAUUUGAAACUGUUUUUCUUGAGUGCUGGAGAGGCAAUCGGAAUUCCGUGUGUAGCGGUGAAAUGCGUAGAUAUCGGAAGGAACGCCGGUGGCGAAAGCGAUCCGCUGGCCCUCUUCUGACGCUGAGGCGCGAAAGCCAGGGGAGCAAACGGG
RNAcentral lists this ribosomal RNA (253 nucleotides) under uncultured bacterium. Its description in RNAcentral is "partial 16S ribosomal RNA". It matches the Rfam family "Bacterial small subunit ribosomal RNA", at positions 524 to 776 of the family's 1533-position model. The record is from RNAcentral.